Molecule: RNA transcript, 12986 nt
Organism: Homo sapiens (human)
Lineage: Eukaryota; Metazoa; Chordata; Mammalia; Primates; Hominidae
Gene: GALNT14
Gene name: polypeptide N-acetylgalactosaminyltransferase 14
Exons: 17
Source: RefSeq, marked reviewed
GUUUCCCUAUCGGCGGCAGCGGGCAAGGCGGCGGCGGCGGCGGCGGCAGCCGCGGUGGCGGCGUGGGGAACAUCUCGGCAGCCACCGCGCUUCUCCCGCUGGAGCGGGCGUCCAGCUUGGCUGCCCUCGGUCCUUCCCUGCCACGUUUCGGGUCGCCCUGCACCCCCCACCCAGGCUCGCUUCUCUUCGAAGCGGGAAGGGCGCCUUGCAGGAUCCUGCCGCCCCUCCAACCGGAUCCUGGGUCUAGAGCUCCCCAGAGCGAGGCGCUCGCCAGGACUCCUGCCCCGCCAACCCUGACCGCCGGGGGGUGCCCCCGGGACGUAGCGCCGCGGAGAGGAAGCGGCAAAGGGGACCAUGCGGCGCCUGACUCGUCGGCUGGUUCUGCCAGUCUUCGGGGUGCUCUGGAUCACGGUGCUGCUGUUCUUCUGGGUAACCAAGAGGAAGUUGGAGGUGCCGACGGGACCUGAAGUGCAGACCCCUAAGCCUUCGGACGCUGACUGGGACGACCUGUGGGACCAGUUUGAUGAGCGGCGGUAUCUGAAUGCCAAAAAGUGGCGCGUUGGUGACGACCCCUAUAAGCUGUAUGCUUUCAACCAGCGGGAGAGUGAGCGGAUCUCCAGCAAUCGGGCCAUCCCGGACACUCGCCAUCUGAGAUGCACACUGCUGGUGUAUUGCACGGACCUUCCACCCACUAGCAUCAUCAUCACCUUCCACAACGAGGCCCGCUCCACGCUGCUCAGGACCAUCCGCAGUGUAUUAAACCGCACCCCUACGCAUCUGAUCCGGGAAAUCAUAUUAGUGGAUGACUUCAGCAAUGACCCUGAUGACUGUAAACAGCUCAUCAAGUUGCCCAAGGUGAAAUGCUUGCGCAAUAAUGAACGGCAAGGUCUGGUCCGGUCCCGGAUUCGGGGCGCUGACAUCGCCCAGGGCACCACUCUGACUUUCCUCGACAGCCACUGUGAGGUGAACAGGGACUGGCUCCAGCCUCUGUUGCACAGGGUCAAAGAGGACUACACGCGGGUGGUGUGCCCUGUGAUCGAUAUCAUUAACCUGGACACCUUCACCUACAUCGAGUCUGCCUCGGAGCUCAGAGGGGGGUUUGACUGGAGCCUCCACUUCCAGUGGGAGCAGCUCUCCCCAGAGCAGAAGGCUCGGCGCCUGGACCCCACGGAGCCCAUCAGGACUCCUAUCAUAGCUGGAGGGCUCUUCGUGAUCGACAAAGCUUGGUUUGAUUACCUGGGGAAAUAUGAUAUGGACAUGGACAUCUGGGGUGGGGAGAACUUUGAAAUCUCCUUCCGAGUGUGGAUGUGCGGGGGCAGCCUAGAGAUCGUCCCCUGCAGCCGAGUGGGGCACGUCUUCCGGAAGAAGCACCCCUACGUUUUCCCUGAUGGAAAUGCCAACACGUAUAUAAAGAACACCAAGCGGACAGCUGAAGUGUGGAUGGAUGAAUACAAGCAAUACUAUUACGCUGCCCGGCCAUUCGCCCUGGAGAGGCCCUUCGGGAAUGUUGAGAGCAGAUUGGACCUGAGGAAGAAUCUGCGCUGCCAGAGCUUCAAGUGGUACCUGGAGAAUAUCUACCCUGAACUCAGCAUCCCCAAGGAGUCCUCCAUCCAGAAGGGCAAUAUCCGACAGAGACAGAAGUGCCUGGAAUCUCAAAGGCAGAACAACCAAGAAACCCCAAACCUAAAGUUGAGCCCCUGUGCCAAGGUCAAAGGCGAAGAUGCAAAGUCCCAGGUAUGGGCCUUCACAUACACCCAGCAGAUCCUCCAGGAGGAGCUGUGCCUGUCAGUCAUCACCUUGUUCCCUGGCGCCCCAGUGGUUCUUGUCCUUUGCAAGAAUGGAGAUGACCGACAGCAAUGGACCAAAACUGGUUCCCACAUCGAGCACAUAGCAUCCCACCUCUGCCUCGAUACAGAUAUGUUCGGUGAUGGCACCGAGAACGGCAAGGAAAUCGUCGUCAACCCAUGAAGGAGCAGCCCAGAAUGCCUGCACCUGCUACUGAAGAUAACAGGCUGCAAUAAUUCACUGUCCAGAUGCAGCAAGGAGCGGAAACGGGUCCCGGCCUCCUCUGCUGAGCCCUGUGGAGAAGCUACGCCAUGCGCAGUGUGUGUGCGUUGCCGAAGAAAACGGCAGGAGACACCACAAAAGGACCUGGAGGCGGGGCUCAGCACCCCCAGAAGCUCCCUUCUUCUCAUGGGGAGGCCGUGCCUCUCACCAACAUUUAGGGAAUAUCGCCAGCUCCAGCUCUGCUUCUUACCCUUAGUUAGAAACUUCUGGUCUGACCCACGAGUUCAGCUCUCGCGCCUGAAUUCUGCCUCUCUUCAGCCUGGCACCUGCAUGAUUUUCAGUUUGGGAGCUACCCCAGAUGUGCCAGAGUCCAGCCUGGGCUUCUACUGCCUACCCAGGGGGCAUCUGUUUGGGGUGUGGGGUCUGCUUCAUCUUGCCAAACCGGGGGCAGGAGUCUUAGACCCACUGGAGCUUUGGAUCCUUUACCUCCUGUCCCCUUGCUCUGGACACCUGGCCCAGCUGCGUCCUAGGAGGUAAGAACAACGGGAGCACAAGCACAGAAACAAGAAAGGGCAGGCCUUUUCUCAGAGAAUGGAGAGCAAGUCAACAAGCCUGUGGUGUAGGAGACAUGGAAAAAAGUGGGGGGCAGGUAAAGCUGGGAAGGGGACCUUGAAUGCAAGGCAGAGGAUUCUGCACUUAAUCGAGUAAAGUAGCGGUGAGCCACUGAAGGCUUUGGAGCAAGGGCGUAGCAUUGUAAGAAGGAUGUGAGAAGAGGAAGAUUGACUGAGUAGCAUGGAGGAAGGUGUUUUGCAGGUAAGAUUCGGAGAAGGCGGGGCCUGUUAAAGACUCCAGAGAUGUGAGACCUGAACUAUGUUACUGACAGUCAGAGCAAAAAAAAUAGACAAUGGCUAUUUUUCCAAUUGUGGGGGUGGAUGUGGGAGACAGAGGAGAAGAGGGAGGGGGAAAGAUGGAGCAAGGUGAGAGAAUGGCCUUCAUGCCAAGUAGAUCCUGCUGAGCCUACUGGGUAAAUUCCUUCAUGGCACCCAUACUUAAUGGAUCCAUUUGAGUAUCCAAUAACCAGGCUUAAUUUCUUAAUUGCAAAACACACACACACAAGAGAAAUACUAGUAGCGUAGCAACCACUUAUACAGUGCUUGCUUGGUCCCCAGCAUUGUUCUUAGAGUUUUAAGGAAUUUACCUUAGUCAAUGCACAUAAAAAUAGUAGCUAUAUAAUAAUAGCUACUCUUAUUGUCUCCAUCUUAGAAGUGAGUAACUUGAGAACCAAGCGGGUUAAGUAACUUGUCCAAAGUCAUAACUUGUAGUAGAGGUGAAAUUCAAGUCCAAGAAGUCCACUCUUGAGUUCUGGGUUCUGGUUCUAGGCUCUGCUGCCUCUCACACUGAAGAUAAAAUAACAAAUAACUCAUCUUCUUAUCAGAAAGAAAAUGUGACAAAUACAGUUGAAGUCCCUUGUGGAAAACACUUUCAUGAGCUGACUUUUAAAACUGAGUAGUUCUACAUCACUCACAACUGGUUAACCCCACUGACUCAGAGUCAUUCAUCAUGGGUCAUUUGUUAGGUAGGGAAGGGAGAGGGGAUGUAGCAUUUCGUGAGCUGCUAUUACAUGCCAAUGCUAUGUUUAUGUGUUUUAUGUUCACUCUUUUAUUUACUGCGAGCAGUAUUCCAGAUAGAUAUUAUCAUCAGCUUUACAGAUGAGGAAGUUGAGCCUCAGAGAAAUUAAAUAACUGGUCGAGGUUGCCCAGGUGAUAUAUGGCAGAGUGGGGGCCUCUUCUCAGUGGCCAUGCCUCCCAAUUGACGUGGCAUCAGCCCCCCAAAUGUAUAUGUAAAUCACUGAGCAAUAAAUAUUUACCAGACACCUGCUAUAUAACAGGUACUAUGCCAGAAAGUGGCCACCAGUCCUUGCCUUCAGGGACAACAAGCAUGGGAGAGGAGGUUUUCUUUGAGAGAGAGAGCAGGGAAAGAGAAGGUGGGAGGGAGGAUGUGCUUGGUGGGAUCGCUGCUAUCCCAGAGGUUGCUUGAGAACAAGGGGCACAGAGCAGGGAAAGGAAAAGCUUUGCAGAGAAUUGGAGGGCUGAGUUGUGAGGCUGCCAGGACAAGGGGAAGAAAGGGCAGAAUUCUAAGUACAGGAGCCCACAUUUGCUUCCCCACACUACCUUUGAGUAGCGUGAUUAAUCCUCACUGUAAUAUCCUUGAGGCAUUAUUUUUAUGAACUUUACACUAAUUGUUUAGAGGUUGGAGAAGAACACUGGACUAAAGGAAGGGGGAACUCUGCUCAAGGAGUUGCUUUCUGUGCCCCCAGCAGGAGGGCUGUGGGAGGCAGGCAUCCCCUUUGUGUCCCCAUAGCACCCUUGUGUCCUUGUGGAACACUUUGUGUCUCCGUGUCCUUCUGUGUUCCCAGGGGACUCUCUGCACAGCCCAUCUUAACACUUACUCCAUUACCUGCAUGUCCUCUGUCCAUGUGUCGGUUCCCCCACCCCUACUGUGUGUAAGCUCCUCAGAGAAUGGGACCCCCCACUGCCUCUGUCAGGGUCUGGCUCUCAAAGGUGCUUGUCAAAUUGAACCUGAAUAGAGCCAGCCAGGUCUUCAAGAUGCAGCUGCUCCUUCAUCUGCUUCCAUAUCUAAUCAAACAGGUCAAGAUUAUUUCUCUAUCCAGAAUAGGUCCUUGCAACUUGGAUAGCACAAAGAGGCUAUAGUGCAUUCUAACUACCAAGAACUCUUUCUGUGGGGUCAUGAAGCUGAUGAAAAACUCUCAGACCCAGCCUCUGCCAAUGGACAGUCAGGUGCUCCUGUGCUGCUGCUCUGGGGAACUGAUAGUACAAACCCAGCAGAAGCCUCGGAACAUUCCAAAGCUGCCUGGAGGGAGCGGGGUCAGAGAGGACUCUCCCACUGUCCUCAGUGUUCCCUGGGAUCCCUGAGGGGGCUGGCCAUCUAAGAAUGGGGGGCCGUAGGCUAAGAGUCCAGAGGGAUGACCACUCACCACCCUCCCCUGCAACAGCUGGCUUCAAGACAUACAGACCAAGGCAGCUUCAGGGUAAUAGCCAACCAGAGCUGGCCACAGGCAGAUGUGUUCCAACCACCGGAAGUAGUUCAGCUUUCAGAGCCAGAAGCUACAAUGUCAGAGGCAUGACUUGAAGAUUUCAUCCCUUCAGCUGCUGGGAAUUCUCCAUUAUAAAACAAGCAAUUCCUGUAAAAACAAGUGUGAUGAUCUCUGCCUCUUCUCUGUCGAGUCUUUCUAACUUCAACAGCCCAACUAUAUUGCCUUGAAUUCUGUAUUUCUGUGGCAGAAUGAAAAAAAGGUCUAGAAUACUGAGCAUGAACAGAACUUUGAACAGAGGAUCUCUAGUCCAACUGCAGCUUCAUGCAGCCCUGUCCCCAAACUAUAGCAACUACUUACUUCCAUUUUUAAAACAACUUUAGAAAUCAUUAUUAAUUUACUCAAAUCCAAUCAAUAAUUAGUGGACACCUACUAAGUGCAAGUAACCAGGUCUACUGAGGCUACAGUGAGCUAAGAUCUUCAGACCCUGCCUGUAACUGCUGUGAGAGGAAGGUGGUGUUAUCCUGAUCCACAGGGCAAGAAACAGUGCUCAGAGAAGUGCAAUAACUUAUCAAAGGCCACACAGCAAGUAAGGGGGCAGGCAGAGCUGGAACCCACUUAGCUACAGAUUCCAGGCCCCUCUUCUCUUUCCUUUUCGGCCCCUGUUCUCUUUCCUUUUCGCCUAGAAAGUUGCACUUUUAGAAAAAUCUAAUUUAAAAAACAUGAGAAUAAUAUUAUAUAUAGUGUAACUGAGAAGCUCAAGAUGUAACAUAUUUUUCAAAUUGUCUUUUCCAAUCAAGACAAGAAAAGCUAAGGUUGUGAGAUGACAAUACUUUGGCCAGUUUGAUUGAAUAAAAGGAUAUUCAACCCACUAAAGGGCCAUGCCAGCUAGCUUGGUCUCUUUAAAAAGCUCAAGUUUCUAUUUUUUUUUUUUUAAUCAAGGUAAUAGUUGUUUGAAGUGAUGCUUACAUAUAGAAAUCCCCUACUCCGCAACGACUCCCUUUCCCCAGAGACAGCCAUCCUUCACACUUCUAGGUCCUGCCCCUGGCAUUUACCUCGACAAUUUAAAAAUUAUUCUGCUAUUUCUUGAAAUAUGAGUUUUAGACAUUAUCUAUUGACUUCAUGCCAUGGUAGAUAAGGACUUAGUUUUUCCACACCACUGCUCACAUUUUUCUCCUUUUAUCCUUGUGACAUGUUUAUAAAAUAAUUUUUGGUAAAAUCAAUAAUCAGCAUUUAUGUGCUAAACCAAAUAGUGAAUUACAAUAAACCUCCUUUCUUGUACAAUCUUUUGUUUUUCCUGGAAUUAAUAAUAGCCUCAGUAUUUUUUUCGCUUCCCUAGUUUUCUAUCUUUCAUGCUUUUCUCCAAAUUUUCCAACAUGUCAUAAUAACACUUUCCAUAAUCUCAAGCAAAUCAUCAUUUCCUUUUUUUCUUUUCCUUAAGAGCCUUCACUCAGGAGGCUCUCUGAUCAAAUGUUCCAGUGUUAUUAGUUGCUUUCUACAUGUGCUGCAUAGUAAACAUCCUAGGAAUUUUCUUCUCCAAUCUCUAAUUUGUGUUUCCCUCUUUUCUGAAACAUAAAACCAUGUAUCUUCCUAUUUCAUAACUUACUUCUUUUUCAUUUCUUUGUUUUUUUGUUUGCUAUACAACAUUCUCAUGUACAUUUCUAAGAAUGCAUGCAUCAGAGGUCAAUUUUUUGAAUUUGAUUUUAUAAAGGUAUAACAUUUGAAUUUGAAAAAUGUCCUUAUUAAAUUCUAAGAUGAAAAUCAUUUUUCUUCCGAAUCCUGAAGGCAUUGUUGUCAAGUUCUAUGAAGAGUCCUGAGAUUUCACCCUAUGUAUAAGCUAACAAGUUAGCCUGCCACAGUUUCAUGGAGACUGAUAGAAGACACAAGACACCUGGAUCAGAGAUAAAGGCAGUUUAAUACUCACAGCAGUGGGAGAAGUCAGGAUAUCAGCAUUGUUUGUACAGAUUCCCCUAACCAGGGCCAAAUGUUGCCAUACCCACACAAUGGGUAGCAUUACAAGAAAGGAACCCUGAGCUUAGGGAGCCCAAACCUUUAUGAUGGGCAUGCUUGCCUUUUACUCUGGAGGGAAACAUUGUUUCUACCUUCCAAGGCUGUUCAUUAUACCAACAUGCUGGAAAAGGUAGUCCAGACAAAGGGCAGUCAGUGCUAUUCUCCUGAGACACUGAGAAAUGCACAAGACAUAAUAAAUUGCUAAAAAUUGUUUUAUUGUCCUCUGGUUUCCACUACUGCCCCCAAGCAGUCUGAUAUCAAUGUAAUCAUUUUCUUUAGCUUGUUACUGUUUCCCCCUGUCCCUGGAAGCUUUUAAACAUCUCUUUAUACCUGGUUUUCUGAUCUUUCCAAAUUUCAAUUUGGAAACCCUACAUCCCGUGUUUUUGGAGUUUUAUUCUUAUACUAUUUCUUUGAUUGUUAGAUGGCAUCUUUCCCUUCAUACACCCUUAUGGAAUUCUCUCAUUUUCUUUGGAUUUGUUUCUUUGCUUUGUUCUCUUUCAGCUUGGAAGAUUUUCUCAAAUUUGUAAUCAUCUAUGGCUGUAAGAGUAUUUCUAAGAACAAGACACUAAAACAACUGCAAAUGCUGUGUCCUGAUUAGGCAGCACAUACCGUCUGGUGAGCUGAACCAUAGGGUGAUCGAAGGUGAUCUGGCCUUUUCAUUGGUGGGAUCGCAAUAGUCAAUAUUCGUAGGUGUUCGCUCUUGGUUUCUCCAGUUUCUCUAGCGAACAAUCUAUUGGUUUCCUGCCUGGGAGAUUUAUGCCAGGCUUGACUUUCUGGACAUAAGGCAGAAGAAUAGAGAGAGGUUACCACAUUGCAGAAACCACAUUUUUGUGGAAGAGAACAAAUAAAUGCUUUUGAUAAACCAAAGCCUCUUGACACUGGUGUCCUCACUGUGCUCUACCCUCAUUCUCUCGGGGAGAGGCUGAGACUUCUCUCAUAAUGCAGGAAGAAUCACUUAAAAAUAGAUUGAAUCAACAAGGGGCAUGAUUCAAAACCUUACCCAUCCGCACUGACUGGGCUCUGUCACACAGACACUGCUAUUCUUUGAGGGUCUGUCUGCGGGGGCAACACUGAUGCAGGACAGCCUGAAGACAGAACUAGGGUUCAUGACUGCAUUUGCACAUGAAGCUGUCUUUGGAAGAUGCUGCUUCCCUUUUUCUUUUUAUGUAAGCUGACCUUGGUUUCUUGAGCCUCAAGGUGUCAUUUGCUUUGCUUUUUAAUUUUUUUCUUUACCAAGUGUUUGUUUUAUCACAUUCAGUUUCUGAGCAUCUGUUUCAUGAAGACCUUGAAGACCCCCCACCUGUUAGUAAACCCUUAUGAAGUCUCUAAUUAAGUUUCAAGGCCACUGCUAUGAUGAAGCCUUCUUCAGACAUCACCUGGCUAGCACAGGCACUCACACAGCAGGAAAGCCCGUAAUCUCUUCUGACAGUGCAUCUGAAUCUCAGAAUCUCAGUGGCUGGAGCCUGGGAAUCUGUAUUUUGAGAAAAUCCUCUAGGUGAUUCUGGUGACCUACUAAUUCACAGGGGUCUGUGUGCCCUUUCCUCCCAUGUCUCAUGCCGGAAUUUGGGGUUCUAAUAUUGUAGCCCAUAUGUCCCUGGUGCCAACUACCUGCCCACUUGAACAUGGGCUGAUCCACUGCCCUAGCUAGACAGAGCCUUAAUGCCAGACUUUGACUUUUCCAUGAUCCCUCAACUAUGAUCCUCCCAGCAUGACUUUUCUCUGUCCUCCCACUGGCCUCCUGGUCUCAGGCUGGCUUUAUGGACUUACCUGCCCUUGCCAGGCCUCAUGUCCUGACCCCUCACCCACCAUUCCCCCAACUACCCAUGCACUCAAGUCCUAAUAUCUUUCCCCACUCUGCCUGGACCAUACUGAUGCCUCCUGUGUAUCCUGAUGCCUCCAGGUCCAGCGAAUAGAAAGGAUGAUAUUGGUAGGUAUGUUUUCUCUAAUGAGAGAUGCAGACAAGGAACACUGAGGAGGAAGUGAUGGCUUCAGACUGGCAUCUCAGGGAGGUUUCGCACUGAAAUAGGAUUUCAGCUGGAGUUUUAGUGGGAGAGCAUCUUUGUAUAUUCAUAGAAGGGGAAGUCAAAUCUAGAAAAUACUUCAUAAAUGCCUCCUAUUAUUACAAUACAAGUACUACUAUUACUAUUUCUACUAAUAAUCGUGUAUCUCAUCAUUGAAUCUCUACCAUUGGAUAAGCACAGCAUAUAUAUUGAUUUACAUAUAUUAUUUGAGAGUUUUCAACAACCCUACAAGGGAGACAUGAUUAUCCCCAUUUCAGAGAUACAGAAAAUGAGAUACAGAGAAGAAUGGUUUUCUCAAGACCUCAAGAGUACUAAGUGCUAAAAGGAAGACUAGCAGCUCAGUCUCCUGACUGAUUUCUUCGCGUUUCUCAGUAUGUCCCACUGCUUCCCUGAAAUUGAAGAAUGCAGCUCUCUCCUCUGGGAGGAACAGUCUCCUCUCUAUCUUCCCAGAGAGAAAUCUGCAAAUAAAACUCAAAUCAAAUCAUCCUGUGGGUCCCCGCCCUCAGCAUGUAGACCACCGGGCUCCUCCUUUACUGGUGGCCAUUACUGUGGUGGGUGAAAUGUGGCAAAUCGUGAUAUUGAUGAUUCAAUGGCCAGGAGAGUUGUCUGAAAGGCAGGGUGGCAUGGGGAGACCACAGGUUCAUUUUCUUCUACACCCCUCUUUUUCAUUCCCCAGAGCUUUCUGAGACAUUUGCUCCAAGACUAAAAAUACUCACGGUUUAAUGCAGCCCUAGAUCCAAAUUAUUUUAUAAAACUUGUUAAGUGCUUUUAGAGUUAGGCAAGCAAGAAAAUACUUGAGUUUUGUUCUAAUGAAAGCCAUUUUUAACAUUUAAAAUUAUAGAAAACAGCCAUACUCCUGCCCUUCAGACUCCACAGUAUUUGCCAACGUGCUGUGGUACAAAGGCCUUUAAGUAUACAAUACAUGAAAAUCUAGGUUUACAGAAAAGCUAAAUUAAAGGAGAUUAUUUGUUCUGUGCAGGAUGCCUUUGUACAGGAAUCCCAGAAAUUGAAAAACUUGAGUCCCAGGUCUGCCACUCGCUGGCAUAACCUGCACCUCAGUGUACACCUCUGUAAAAUGGAGAGAUGAAGGAUGAAGCUGCUUCCCCUCACCCACAAGGUGGUCAUGAGAAUCUGAUGAGAUGUGGAUUGUAAGCAGUGGGGUUCUAUACAAAGGUAAAGCAUCUUUGAUGAGAGAAGUAGAGGGCUAGGGUAAGGGGAGAAGUCCCUGUCCAGGGUGGCACACCUGGGUUGUUGGUGGGCUGGCCUCCUACCUAGUCAAGCUUGUGAACAGUCUAACCUGGGUCCCCACAGCAAUGGGAGGAGGAGCUGUUCCAAGUUCCAUUAUCCUGCACAGUAUACCCCGCAGUCCUGCUAUUCAGUUAAACACCGCAGCUCCUGAGUACAUUUUAAUUUCUGAUCAUUAGUUACAAGAUUUUCUUGUUAAUUCUGAUUCAGCAGAUUUUGCUGAGACAGCUCUAUUUUUCUCGCCCUUUAUUUUGGUCGUGCUGCACAGUCCCUAUCUAGACAGAUAAUAAAUCCGGGUGGCUAACCUCCCUCCCAGGAAUGAAUCAUCUGCAACUCUGAAAAGGACACAGCCGCAGGGGUGGUGACAGGGAGGAGUCCUACUCCCAGGCUUCUUUACAGGUGACUCUGGGGGAUCUUCGUGAUUCUGGCCCCAGGACACAAUCCUGUAAGUAAUUACACUGGGAGAUAACAAGACUCACCCAGAACUCAACAGUAGGAAAAUUGGGAGGUGGGGGUGGAGGGGGGGACAAUACAACUCAUGGCAAUUCAACAAAAUAAGGCUCCUGCUUUCUGCCUCUUUUUAUUAGAUCACAGGUAUCAUGUGACUGAAUUUGCCACAGAUUUAGCUAACCUGGGAGACAUCACCAGAAUUUUGCAACCAGCAAGAUUAGUUUGGGGCCCUGCACCCUCCUCUUCUCCUUCUUUCCUUGUGCCUAGUUGCCUGCCAAUGGCCAUUGGUAGGAACAGGCUUAUUCUCCUCCUUUCAGGUAGGCAACUUCCAUCCCCACCCCCGGCCUCCCAACCCUACAUCUAGGAAAACAAUGAGCUCAUCCAUGCUAAAUUGUUGUUCCAGUUGUAACACCCUUCCCAGCGACCAGUGAGAUUUGUAGACAUUAUUAAUAAGAGCUAACACUCAUGCAGCAUUUGCCACAUGCUGGCCACUCUUCUUAACCCUUUUUUGAUAUUAACUAUCUUCACUGCCACAUCAGCUCUAUGAAGUGGGGGUAAUAAUUACAGUAUCCCUAUUUUACAGAUGAGGAAACUGAGGCACAAAACAUCACACUAUUCUCUGUAGUCACCCAUGUAGUAGGCAGCAGAGCUGGUAUUGGGUCCCCAGUUGCAGAGUCCAUGCCCUCAGUCCACUGUACUUUAUUGAUGCAAUCUUUUUUUGUCACAAGAUGCUGCUAGAGUGGCCUGGUGCAGCAGCAAGCUAGCUCAGUCUUAGAGUGCAGACAGAUGGCUAGGCUCAGACCUAUGACAGGAAUGGGGCUGGAAUGGAAGGAACAGACCUAGCAGGUUGGCUCAGAGGAAGCCCCAUCUAGUGGAGUCCAAUCCAAUUAAGUAGCAGUCCAGGCAAGCAAUUCAUGUCAUAGAGGCUGACAAAGGGUAAAAGGAUGUCCCAGACCAACAGGUCAUGCAGGGAAAGAAACAGCAGUACAGGCAUCAAGGACAAGUGCCAGCAGACUACAGGUCCCAGGUUGCACCCCCAGCUGAGGUAGGCAUGGGAGCAGGAGUCAUGAGUAAGUUAGAAAACCCUACCUCACACUAUAAACACAAAUUAGCUCAAAAGGUAUCAAUGACCUAAGAGUAAAAGCCAAAACCAAAAACCCUUGGAAGAAAACUAGGAGUAAAUCUUCAUGACCUCAGAUUUUGCAAUGCUUUCUUAGGUAUGACAUCAAAAGCAUGAGCAACAAGAGAAAAAAGAGAUAAAUUGGACUUCAUCAAAUGUAAAACUUAUGUGCGUCAAAAGGUAUUAUCAAGAAAGUGAAAAUACAAUCCACAGAUAUUGCAAAUCGUAUCUCUGGAGAGAAUUUAAUAUCCAGAAUAUAUAAAGAACUUUUAUUUUACAACUGGACAACAAAAAGACAACUUACCUGAAAUAAAACUGGAAUUAAAUAGACAUUUCUCCAAAGAAGACAUACAAAUGGCCAAAAAGCACAUGGAAAGAUGCUCAACAUUAUUAAUCACUGGAAAAAUGCAAGGCAAACUACCAUGAGAUACCAUGCACUAGGAUGGCUAUCAUAUGAAAAAUUAAUUAAAAAAAAGAAAAUAAUUAUUAGCAAGGAUAUGAAGAAAUUGAAACCGUUACACAUUGCUGGUAGGAGUGUAAAAUGUCAGCUGCUGUGAAAAAUAGUUUGGUGGUUUCUCAAAAAGUUAAACAUAGAGUUACCAUUUGACCUAGGAAUUUCAGCCCCACAUAUAUCCCUGAAAAAAACUGAAAAGAGCUACUUAAAUACAUGCACAAACACUUUCAUAGACUCACUAUUCACAGUAGCCAAACGUGGAAACAAUUCAAACGUCCAUCAAUGGAAGAAUGGAUAAACAAAUGGUGGUGUAUACAUAAAAUGAAAUAUUAUUCAGACAUGAAAAGUAGUAAAGUACUGAUACAUGCUACGAUGUGGAUGAACCUCAAAAACAUUUUGCUAAGGUCUCAUAUUGUAUGAUUCCAUUCAUAUGAAAUAUCUGAAAAGUCAAUCCAUGAAGACAGAAGGCAAACUGGCAGUUGCCAGGGGCUUGGGGAAAUGGAAAGUAAAUGCUUAAUGGUACAGGGUUUUCUCUGGGGGUGAUGAAAAUGUUUUGGGACAAGAUCAAGGUGUUGGUUGUACAAGAUUAUGAAUGUACUAAAGGCCAUUAAAUUCCUCACCUUAAAA